CGUGUAGGCGGCCGGAUAAGUUGGGAGUGAAAGUCCUGCUUUCAAGGUGGGAAUUGCUUUCAAAACUGUCAGGCUUGAGUGCGGAAGAGGUAAGUGGAAUUCCCAGUGUAGCGGUGAAAUGCGUAGAGAUUGGGAGGAACACCAGUGGCGAAGGCGACUUACUGGGCCGUAACUGACGCUGAGGCGCGAAAGCGUGGGGAGCAAACA
Molecule: ribosomal RNA, 207 nt
Filed under: uncultured bacterium
Lineage: Bacteria
Description: partial 16S ribosomal RNA
Rfam family: Bacterial small subunit ribosomal RNA
Source: RNAcentral